This 786-nucleotide long non-coding RNA is filed under the name Fukomys damarensis (Damara mole-rat). Its description in RNAcentral is "lncRNA (ENSFDAG00000030916.1)". Lineage: Eukaryota; Metazoa; Chordata; Mammalia; Rodentia; Bathyergidae. The record is from RNAcentral.
GUUGUCAAAAGUCUUCCAUGUCUUAAGGAGGUGGACUGCUCAGGAUUGUGACCAGGCCUGUAGCUACCUCUAAAAUGAGGCCCUCCAGGGCACCUUGCUACUCAGGUCUGGGAAACAGGGGCACAGAAGGAUGGAUUCCCCCAGUAGUUGAGCUGGCCCAUCAGCAGAGAGAAGAGCCUCACCGGCACCCUUCCCUGAGAGCUGUGCUGCUUUCUCCCUUGCUGCUAUCUUCUAGGUCUCUGCGUGGAACUUACAGAGGGCAGAGAAAUUCUCUUCACUGCGCAGGGUGAGAAGAUGAGGCUUGGUGUUCAUGUGCCUGGGACUCACGCUGAGCACAGUGCCAACCUCCUGAAGGAGGCUUCCUGGCGGUGUCAGAGGGAGCCCCGGAGCCCCAUGGUGCAUGCACAGUAGGCUGCAAGCCAAGUCCAAGCUCAAAGCCAUGGCCUUCAAGCACAUCCUGGGAAGGGCCAGAGAUAAGUAUUUCAGGCUCCAUGGGCUUGAUGCACCUGCUGUUCUCACGCUGCAGCUAACUGUGAAACUUGGAGCCGAUCGUCACUUCCUGGGCAAUUUCUACCCUGGAUCCACCCUCAGGGUUCACCUGCCACACGGUUACGUACCCUCCCCCCACUGGUGGGCCGCGAGCUUAGGUCUCUUCAGGACAAGUGGGAUUUUCAACCGGAUGAGAUUCCUCAUUCAACAGCUCCCCCUCCCCCAGUCACUGAGACCCAGGGACCUUUGGGCACCAGGUGCAAAUCCCAAUUGUGUACACAGCAGAUGAAUAAAAGC